RNAcentral lists this non-coding RNA (25 nucleotides) under Cricetulus griseus (Chinese hamster). Lineage: Eukaryota; Metazoa; Chordata; Mammalia; Rodentia; Cricetidae. The record is from RNAcentral.
AAUGGACUGGCGACUGGACAGGCGU